AUGGAAUAAUAAAAUAGGACGGCAUAGUUCUAUUUUGUUGGUUUCUAGGAUCACCAUAAUGAUUAAUAGGGAUAGUUGGGGGUAUUGGUAUUCAAUUAUCAGAGGUGAAACUCUUGGAUUUAUUGAAGAAUAACUUCUGCGAAAGCAUUUGCCAAGGAUGUUUUUAUUGAUCAAGAACGAAAGUUAGGGGAUCGAAGACGAUCAGAUACCGUCGUAGUCUUAACCAUAAACUAUACUGACUAAGGAUCGGACGAUGUUGAUUUUUUAAUGACUUGUUCGGCGCUUUACG
Molecule: ribosomal RNA, 289 nt
Filed under: uncultured Glomeromycotina
Lineage: Eukaryota; Fungi; Glomeromycota
Description: partial 18S ribosomal RNA
Rfam family: Eukaryotic small subunit ribosomal RNA
Source: RNAcentral